This is a non-coding RNA of Cinara cedri, 250 nucleotides long. The record is from the annotation of a GenBank genome assembly. Lineage: Eukaryota; Metazoa; Arthropoda; Insecta; Hemiptera; Aphididae.
UUAAAAAAAAAAAACCAAAUGGGGUUAACGGUUCCCUAAAUACGUCACUUGAUUAUAACUCAUAAUAAUCCCGGAUAAUUUAUUAUAACAGACGGCCGUGUGAACGAGAUUCCAGAUUUUCGUUCGAAUCGUACAAUUUCUUUCGAGUGUAUAUUAUAAUAACUACAUCGUCGUCGACGGCGUCGAGGAACGUUCAAUUAUUUUCACAAUGCCGUUUUAUAUACGUCUGAUCAAUAUUAAUGUUUCCAGU